This 412-nucleotide ribosomal RNA is filed under the name Bradypodion nemorale. Its description in RNAcentral is "partial 16S ribosomal RNA". It matches the Rfam family "Bacterial large subunit ribosomal RNA", at positions 1914 to 2596 of the family's 2925-position model. The record is from RNAcentral. Lineage: Eukaryota; Metazoa; Chordata; Lepidosauria; Squamata; Chamaeleonidae.
AAAUUCUUAACGGCCGCGGCACUAAAACCGUGCAAAGGUAGCACAAUCACUUGUCCCUUAAAUGGGGACCCGUAUGAAAGGCAACAUGAGAGAAGACCUGUCUCCUAAGGCCAGCCAAUGAAAUUGAACUACCAGUACAAAAGCUGGUAUAUACAAGCAAGACAAAAAGACCCUAUGGAACUUUAACAAAUUAUUUACAUAACAUAAAUUAUAGUUUCAGUUGGGACAACUUUAGAGAAAAUUAACCUCGACCCAGUCACACUGAUUAACGAAACAAGCUACCCUAGGGAUAACAGCGCUACCUUCUCAAAGAGUCCAUAUCAACAAGAAGAUCUACGACCUCGAUGUUGGAUCAGGGUACCCAGACGGUGCAGCAGCUGUCAACGGUUCGUUUGUUCAACGAUUAACACCC